RNAcentral lists this long non-coding RNA (303 nucleotides) under Gossypium raimondii (Peruvian cotton). Its description in RNAcentral is "long non-coding RNA (GRAI_LNC004204)". Lineage: Eukaryota; Viridiplantae; Streptophyta; Magnoliopsida; Malvales; Malvaceae. The record is from RNAcentral.
AGAAUUCCACGAGAGGGUUGGAUGUCGAAAAAGAUCAUUCCUCUCCAAAAGGAUUCUAGAGGGAAAUGAAUGCCAAACCGGGAAUGUCCCUACGUUGUAAAGAAGACAUUCUUCAGAAGAGCACUGAUCCUGAGUAAGAUUGCUAGUCCUAUAAACUCGGAUCCAGUCAAGAAAUACUUCUUUUAAAGAAGGAGAAAUAACCAAGGUGAAAACCCGCAAAGGGCACUCUGAGUAAAAAAAAAGAAAAAAAAGAAAAAUGAGAAUGAAAAAAAUGAAAAAUGGGAAUGAAAAAUGAAAAUGAAA